CAGGCCUAACACAUGCAAGUCGAGCGGGCGUAGCAAUACGUCAGCGGCAGACGGGUGAGUAACGCGUGGGAACGUACCUUUUGGUUCGGAACAACACAGGGAAACUUGUGCUAAUACCGGAUAAGCCCUUACGGGGAAAGAUUUAUCGCCGAAAGAUCGGCCCGCGUUCGAUUAGCUAGUUGGUGAGGUAACGGCUCACCAAGGCGACGAUCGAUAGCUGGUCUGAGAGGAUGAUCAGCCACAUUGGGACUGAGACACGGCCCAAACUCCUACGGGAGGCAGCAGUGGGGAAUAUUGGACAAUGGGCGCAAGCCUGAUCCAGCCAUGCCGCGUGAGUGAUGACGGCCUUAGGGUUGUAAAGCUCUUUCGCUCGGGACGAUAAUGACGGUACCGAGAUAAGAAGCCCCGGCUAACUUCGUGCCAGCAGCCGCGGUAAUACA
This 440-nucleotide ribosomal RNA is filed under the name uncultured Alphaproteobacteria bacterium. RNAcentral's name for it is "bacterial SSU rRNA". It matches the Rfam family "Bacterial small subunit ribosomal RNA", at positions 43 to 527 of the family's 1533-position model. Lineage: Bacteria; Pseudomonadati; Pseudomonadota; Alphaproteobacteria. The record is from RNAcentral.